This 509-nucleotide ribosomal RNA is filed under the name uncultured bacterium. RNAcentral's name for it is "bacterial SSU rRNA". It matches the Rfam family "Bacterial small subunit ribosomal RNA", at positions 28 to 530 of the family's 1533-position model. The record is from RNAcentral.
GACGAACGCUGGCGGCGUGCCUAACACAUGCAAGUCGAGCGGAGUCGAUCGACGGAAGCCUUCGGGCGGAAGAUGGUUGACUUAGCGGCGGAUGGGUGAGUAACGCGUGGGCAACCUGCCUCGAAGACCGGGAUAACAGCCCGAAAGGGCUGCUAAUACCGGAUGUGGUCAAAGAUCCGCAUGGAUUUUUGAUUAAAGGGGAAACCCGUUUCGAGAUGGGCCCGCGUCCUAUCAGCUAGUUGGUGAGGUAAAAGCUCACCAAGGCGACGACGGGUAGCCGGCCUGAGAGGGUGACCGGCCACACUGGAACUGAGACACGGUCCAGACUCCUACGGGGGGCAGCAGUGGGGAAUCUUCCACAAUGGGCGAAAGCCUGAUGGAGCGACGCCGCGUGAGCGAAGAAGGCCUUCGGGUUGUAAAGCUCUGUCUGGAGGGACGAAGGAAGUGACGGUACCUCCGGAGGAAGCCACGGCUAACUACGUGCCAGCAGCCGCGGUAAAGUACUCUAU